AUGAUACUGCCAUUGUCCCAAUUGAAAAUGCCAUAAGCCUACAUUGUCGUAUUAGUUUAAAAAAUGCGAAAAACCAAAUUAAAUUUGAAUUUCGCGGGAAGGCCCGUCAUGCCCCUUAAUGCAUAUACAUUAUUUAUAACAACAAAACUUAAUUCGCAAUUAAAUAUUCUACCUAUAUAUAAAAUAUUUACAAAAAUAAGGGCGCGUUCACACGAACAUCUUUUGUCUCGCAGCUGUCGUAUCAGACCCUAUUUUUUAAAACGGGCCUACUUACGCAAAUCAGAACUAAUUCACUGAAUGAUACUGAUUCUGACCGCAACUAAAUUUUAGAGUUUUCGCAUCCUUUUCUUACCAAUGUAAUAAGAAAAGGACAGACAAAGUUAAUUAAAUAUAAAACUGUCAAACCUCGUGGUUUACGCGUCAGUCCUGAGCAUAGUGUUUGAAAUUGUAAAGUGGCACUAAAAUUAAAUUUUAAAAUUCAUUUUCCGUCCUUUUUUAGCAAUAUUAAAAUGAAAAAGAUGCAGAUACUCUAAAUCUAGUUUAGAGAAAAAGUAACAGUUUUGAGGAAAAACAGUUUUAUAUAAAAAUUGUGUGCAAAUAUCGUUUAUUAUUUUUAAAAACAUAAUAUUGUAAAAAAAAAUAGAUUUUUCUCCACACAAUAAUUGAUUUUUCUCAACGUCAUCAUGGUGCAGAUUGGCACUGGUUUGCAUAAGUUAAAACAGACUAAUUAUAAUAUUACUAGAGGAUGCCCGCGGCUUCGCCCUCGUGGAUUUUGGUUUUCUUUGACCCUGAAGAACCUCUCAAAUUUUCCGGGAUAAAAAGUAGCCUAUGUCCAUCCCCAGAAUGUAGGAGUCUGUACCAAAUUUAAUUAAAAUCGGUUCAGCAGUUGGGCCGUGAAAACGUAGCAGACAGACAGACAGAAACACUUUCGCAUUUAUAAUAUUAGUAUGGAUUGAUGGGAGACAAAAAGGUCGCAAAGACAAAAGUUGGUCAUCUACGCUCGCCCUAAUAGUACCGAUUUAACUAGGUAAUCCUAAUACUUAUUAGUAUUACAGUAAAUUUUACAAAUAACACCUAAUUUAAAAAUAAAAACAACUUUCAACAUAAUGAGUUCAUUUACCACAAUUAUUAUACUUUUAGAUUCUAGCACAAUGAAUUCUAAAACCAAAGAAUUGGUUUUAUGUCAGUUUAGAAUCACGUUUUACAAGUGUAAAUUAAAAAUUAAUAACACCCCCGACAAGUGAAGGUUACAGUAACUAGAAAAGAGCUGAUAACUUUCAAACGGCUGAACCGAUUUUCUUGGAUUAUAGCUAAGAACACUCUCGAUCAAGCCACCUUUCAAACAAAAAAUAAAACUAGAUUAAAAUCGGUUCAUUAGUUUAGGAGCUACGAUGCCUGCUGCUAUCAGUGCCAAAUGGCGAAAACCAAGUUGCAUCAAAAACAGAUCGGCAAUCGCAGAUCCAGCGUACUUUCACCUAUUUUGUCUGGUCUAACA
Maniola jurtina (meadow brown) is the source of this 1495-nucleotide long non-coding RNA. RefSeq lists it as uncharacterized. The record is from RefSeq and is a predicted model, not a curated record. The transcript has 3 exons. Lineage: Eukaryota; Metazoa; Arthropoda; Insecta; Lepidoptera; Nymphalidae.